CAACUUUCAACAAUGGAUCUCUUGGCUCUCGCAUCGAUGAAGAACGCAGCGAAAUGCGAUAAGUAAUGUGAAUUGCAGAAUUCAGUGAAUCAUCGAAUCUUUGAACGCAUCUUGCACUCCUUGGUAUUCCGAGGAGCAUGCCUGUUUGAGUGUCAUU
RNAcentral lists this ribosomal RNA (157 nucleotides) under uncultured Amanitaceae. RNAcentral's name for it is "5.8S ribosomal RNA". It matches the Rfam family "5.8S ribosomal RNA". Rfam says of the family: 5.8S ribosomal RNA (5.8S rRNA) is a component of the large subunit of the eukaryotic ribosome. It is transcribed by RNA polymerase I as part of the 45S precursor that also contains 18S and 28S rRNA. The record is from RNAcentral. Lineage: Eukaryota; Fungi; Basidiomycota; Agaricomycetes; Agaricales; Amanitaceae.